UUGUUUUGGCAGCACAUAAACUAUAAUUGGAGCUAUACAGAGAAGAUAAGCAUGGCCACCACACAGUGGUGACAAAUUCCUGAGAAAUUCCAUAUUUUU
This 99-nucleotide small nuclear RNA is filed under the name Microtus ochrogaster (prairie vole). The record is from RNAcentral. Lineage: Eukaryota; Metazoa; Chordata; Mammalia; Rodentia; Cricetidae.